CCUACGGGAGGCAGCAGUGAGGAAUAUUGGUCAAUGGGCGGAAGCCUGAACCAGCCAAGUAGCGUGCGGGAUGAAGGCCCUACGGGUCGUAAACCGCUUUUGCACGGGGAUAACACCCUCCACUUGUGGAGGUCUGCAGGUACCGUGCGAAUAAGGGCCGGCUAAUUCCGUGCCAGCAGCCGCGGUAAUACGGAGGGCCCGAGCGUUAUCCGGAUUCAUUGGGCUUAAAGGGAGCGUAGGCGGGCGGUCAAGUCAGCGGUAAAAUCGCGCGGCUCAACCGCGCCCCGCAGUUGAAACUGGAUGCCUUGAGUUAACAACAGGCAGGCGGAAUUCGUGGUGUAGCGGUGAAAUGCAUAGAUAUCACGAGGAACCCCGAUUGCGAAGGCAGCCUGCCGGGGUGCGACUGACGCUGAGGCUCGAAGGUGCGGGUAUCAAACAGGAUUAGAUACCCCGGUAGUC
Molecule: ribosomal RNA, 459 nt
Filed under: uncultured bacterium
Lineage: Bacteria
Description: partial 16S ribosomal RNA
Rfam family: Bacterial small subunit ribosomal RNA
Source: RNAcentral